Molecule: ribosomal RNA, 252 nt
Filed under: uncultured bacterium
Lineage: Bacteria
Description: partial 16S ribosomal RNA
Rfam family: Bacterial small subunit ribosomal RNA
Source: RNAcentral
UACGGAGGAUGCGAGCGUUAUCCGGAUUUAUUGGGUUUAAAGGGUGCGUAGGCGGACUGUCAAGUCAGCGGUAAAAUUGAGAGGCUCAACCUCUUCCCGCCGUUGAAACUGGUGGUCUUGAGUGGAUGAGAAGUACGCGGAAUGCGUGGUGUAGUGGUGAAAUGCAUAGAUAUCACGCAGAACUCCGAUUGCGAAGGCAGCGUACCGGCAUCCAACUGACGCUGAGGCACGAAAGCGUGGGGAUCAAACAGG